CUACGGGAUGCACCAGUAGGGAAUAUUGGACAAUGGGCGAAAGCCUGAUCCAGCAACACCGCGUGCACGAUGACGGCCUUCGGGUUGUAAAGUGCUUUUAGAGGAGAUGAGAAAGGACAGUAUCCUCUGAAUAAGCCUCGGCGUACUACGUGCCAGCAGCCGCGGUAAAACGUAGGAGGCAAGCGUUAUCCGGAUUUAUUGGGCGUAAAGCGCGUGCAGGCGGUCUAGCAAGUUGGAUGUGAAAGCUCCCGGCUCAACUGGGAGAGGUCGUUCAAUACUGUUAGACUAGAGAAUAGGAGAGGGAGGUGGAAUUCCGGGUGUAGUGGUGAAAUGCGUAGAUAUCCGGAGGAACACCAGUGGCGAAAGCGGCCUCCUGGACUAUUUCUGACGCUAAGACGCGAAAGCUAGGGUAGCAAACGGGAUUAGAUACCCCCGUAGUC
This 440-nucleotide ribosomal RNA is filed under the name uncultured bacterium. RNAcentral's name for it is "partial 16S ribosomal RNA". It matches the Rfam family "Bacterial small subunit ribosomal RNA", at positions 339 to 795 of the family's 1533-position model. The record is from RNAcentral.